UUUUGUGCCUCGGUGGGGGGAGUUCUGAGGCUCCACGUGAGUGUUGAGACCCGUGGUGGAAAGAAGGGCUGGGCUUUGCGACGCGGUGGCAGAGGAAGCAGGGGAUGAAGUCAAUGAUCUCAGCACUGAAGCAGCCAAAAAGUUCAGAGAUGGACGUUUCAAUAUAAUGGAAAUCUCAGUAUAACUAUGGGGAGAGUUAUAUGAAGAGAGAGAACCUGUCAGUCAAAUCUCAUACUGUCUUUGGUGGUUCUUUAGCCCUGGAAAACGUGAUGUGAAAUCGCUUGGUAAGAACUGAUUCCAUUUAGCCAUCAGGGACCAAUAAUAGCAUUUCAUCAGGAUCUGAGUUUCCCACCUGAGGUUUCCGCUGAGAUGAUUCUAGAGUGAUUUCAUGAGACUUGUUGAAAACAUUGCUUCUUGCCUACUCUGACUAGUAUGGCUGGGCCAGCUCUUCCAGUAUAGAAUGAGUUGGACAGAAAUAGAAACAAGAACAAGCAGAUUAUACAGGAAAGGAACAUUGGGAAAGCAGCAGGAAUUUAUAGCUUCCAAAAUCAGCACACCGAUUUUUUUUUGAGUCAUCAUCAGUGAUUGACAUGACACUUUUCCAUUUAUUGAAGGCUAACCUGAACUAUAUAUUGUGCUCCCAACCGAUUUUAUUUCUGUGAUUGGUUAUUCCUGGAAUUCCCAGCUGUGAAACCUUCAAAAUAAAGCAGAUAAAAAGAAGUAUUCAAAA
Pantherophis guttatus is the source of this 730-nucleotide long non-coding RNA. RefSeq lists it as uncharacterized. Lineage: Eukaryota; Metazoa; Chordata; Lepidosauria; Squamata; Colubridae. The record is from RefSeq and is a predicted model, not a curated record.